UUUCCAAAAGAUAAUCAUAUGCACUGGAACAAGUUACAAUUGUGUACAAAGAGGGUCAGCCAAGGAUAAAUUACCACAGGAAAGGAGUGCCGCUGAUAUGAAAUAGGUAUCCUUUGAUCUUCAUCUCUUUCUCCCAAGGAAGCAAAUGUUACACCCAAAUACUGUCCUUUUAAUGCCAACCCUGCUCUUCUCCUCAACCCCUUUAUAUGUACAAUCCUAAAUUAUAGGUGCGAAGGAGAACAUGGAUCUCCAUUGGAGUUCCUUUCAUCUUAAUCUUCACUGGGACAAUGGCAAAGGAAAUACUCUCCUCAGUAAUGACACAAGACCUUGCAAGCGACUACAACUUGUGAA
Molecule: long non-coding RNA, 351 nt
Filed under: Coffea arabica (coffee)
Lineage: Eukaryota; Viridiplantae; Streptophyta; Magnoliopsida; Gentianales; Rubiaceae
Description: long non-coding RNA (CARA_LNC007925)
Source: RNAcentral